RNAcentral lists this small RNA (166 nucleotides) under Mycobacterium sp. RNAcentral's name for it is "c-di-AMP sequence". It matches the Rfam family "c-di-AMP riboswitch aptamer (ydaO/yuaA leader)". Rfam says of the family: This family represents a conserved RNA structure found upstream of the ydaO and yuaA genes in Bacillus subtilis and related genes in other bacteria. The ydaO/yuaA element is thought to act as a genetic "off" switch for the ydaO and yuaA genes in its native state. It is believed that the element may be triggered during osmotic shock leading to activation of ydaO, a predicted amino acid transporter gene, and members of the yuaA-yubG operon which code for KtrA and KtrB K+ transporters. Lineage: Bacteria; Bacillati; Actinomycetota; Actinomycetes; Mycobacteriales; Mycobacteriaceae. The record is from RNAcentral.
CAUGCAACAUCGCGGAUGGAGGCGGGGGACCCACCGGUCCACCCGGACCCGGAGUCGACGACGACUCCUUGGGGUGAAGCCGUUUUCCCUUCGGGGGUGACGGCCGGGCAGCCUCUCCAGCCCGAACCCGACAGCUGACUUCGCAGGCGUCCACACGAGAGGAACA